ACGAACGCUGGCGGCGUGCUUAACACAUGCAAGUCGAACGGAAAGGCCCUGCUUUUGUGGGGUGCUCGAGUGGCGAACGGGUGAGUAACACGUGAGUAACCUGCCCUUGACUUUGGGAUAACUUCAGGAAACUGGGGCUAAUACCGGAUAGGAGCUCCUGCUGCAUGGUGGGGGUUGGAAAGUUUCGGCGGUUGGGGAUGGACUCGCGGCUUAUCAGCUUGUUGGUGGGGUAGUGGCUUACCAAGGCUUUGACGGGUAGCCGGCCUGAGAGGGUGACCGGCCACAUUGGGACUGAGAUACGGCCCAGACUCCUACGGGAGGCAGCAGUGGGGAAUAUUGCACAAUGGGCGGAAGCCUGAUGCAGAAACGCCGCGUGCGGGAUGACGGCCUUCGGGUUGUAAACCGCUUUCGCCUGUGACGAAGCGUGAGUGACGGUAAGGGGUAAAGAAGCACCGGCUAACUACG
This 465-nucleotide ribosomal RNA is filed under the name uncultured bacterium. RNAcentral describes it as "partial 16S ribosomal RNA". It matches the Rfam family "Bacterial small subunit ribosomal RNA", at positions 29 to 505 of the family's 1533-position model. The record is from RNAcentral.